AGUUUGCAUUGCUUGAGAGCUCGUCAGUUGACAAUGAUCUUGCAGAGUUGAAGAAAGAACUAUCUGGUAACUUAAAGAAAGGAGACCUGCCUCCUGGGAGAGCUGCCGUGAGCGGUACAAACACAGCAUUUCCACUCCGAGAGGCUGAGAUUGAAGAGGAGCUCAAUGUAUUGAGGCAAAAGACACAGAAUUUCUAGUGUUCCCACUUCUCAUGUGCAGACUCUGGACUUCGUAUUUGAAUCCAGAUUUUAGAAAAUUAUUUCCUUCCACAUGGAAUUCAACUUCUCUGUACAGCUGAAGGCUGAAGUUGAAUUAGAAAUUGUAUAUCUCAUGUGUUUGUAUUCAAUAUAGGUGCACUGGCAGGAGAAGAUUCAAACUGGGAAGUUGAAUGCUGAUGUA
Molecule: long non-coding RNA, 399 nt
Organism: Malania oleifera
Lineage: Eukaryota; Viridiplantae; Streptophyta; Magnoliopsida; Santalales; Ximeniaceae
Exons: 2
Source: RefSeq, a predicted model, not a curated record